GUGAAGUAAGAUAGCCUGUAGGCUUGAUGGUCGAGUGAGUGAUUGCUUGAACUCGAAGUAAGAUAGCCCGUAGGCUUAAUGGUCGAGUGAGUGAUUGCUCGAACUCAAAGUAAGAUAGCCUGUAGGCUUGAUGGUCGAGUGAGUGAUUGCUUGAACUCGAAGUAAGAUAGCCCGUAGGCUUAAUGGUCGAGUGAGUGAUUGCUCGAACUCGAAGUAAGAUAGCCCGUAGGCUUAAUGGUCAAGUGAGUGAUUGCUCGAACUCUAAGUAAGAUAGCCUUUAGGCUUAAUGGUCGAGUGAGUGAUUGCUCGAACUCGAAGUAAAAUAGCCUUUAGGCUUAAUGGUCGAGUGAGUGAUUGCUCGAACUCGAAGUAAGAUAGCUCAUAGGCUUAAUGGUCGUGUGAGUGAUUGCUCGAACUCUAAGUAAGAUAGCCCGUAGGCUUAAUGGUCGAGUGAGUGAUUGCUCGAACUGGAAGUAAUAUUGCUCGUAGGCUUAAUGGUCGAGUGAGUGAUUGCUCGAACUCAAAGUAAGAUAACCCGUAGGCUUGAUGGUCGAGUGAGUGAUUGCUCGACCUCGAAGUAAGAUAGCCUUUAGGCUUGAUGGUCGAGUGAGUGAUUGCUAGAAUGCGAAGUACGAUAGCCCGUAAGUUUGAUGGUCGAGUGAAUGACUGCUCGAACUCGAAGUAAGAUAGACUAUAGGCUUAGUGGUCGAGUGAGUGAUUGCUCAAACACGAAGUAAGAUAGCCCGUAGGCUUGAUGGUUGAGUGAGUGAUUGAUCGACCUCGAAGUAAGAUAGCCCUUAAGUAAUAUAGCUCGUCGGCUUAAUGGUCGAGUGAGUGAUUGCUAGAACACGAAGUAAUAUAGCCCGUAGGCUUGAUGGUUGAAUGAGUGAUUGCUCGACCUCGAAGAAAGAUAUCCCAAAGGCUUGAUGGCCGAGUAAGUUCUUGCUCGAACUCGAAGUAAGAUAGCCCGUAUGCAUGAUGGUCGAGUGAGUUAUUGCUCGAACUUGAAGUAAGAUAGCCCGAAGGCUUGAUGGUCGAUUGAGUGAUUUUUCGACCUCAAAGGAAGAUGGCCCAUAGGCUUGGUGGUCAAGUGAGUGAUUGCUCAACCUCGAAGUAUGAUAGCCCGUAGGCUUGAUGGUCUAGUGAGUGAUUGCUCGAAUUUGAAGUAAGAUAGCCCGUAUUCUUGAUGGUCGAGCGAGUGAUUUCUCGAACUCAAAGUAAGAUAUCCCGUAGCAUUAAUGGUAGAGUGAGUGAUUUCUCGAACUCAAAGUAAGAUAGCCCAUAGGCUUAAUGGUCGAGUGAGUGAUUGCUCGAACUCCAAGUAAGAUAGCCUGUAGGCUUGAUGGUCGAGUGAGUGAUUGCUUGAACUCGAAGUAAGAUAGCCCGUAGGCUUAAUGGUCGAGUGAGUGAUUGCUCGAACGCGAAGUAAGAUAGCCCGUAGGAUUGAUGGUCGAGUGAGUGAUUGCUCGAACUCGAAGUAAGAUAGCCCGUAGGC
This 1495-nucleotide long non-coding RNA is filed under the name Nicotiana tabacum (common tobacco). Its description in RNAcentral is "long non-coding RNA (NTAB_LNC016388)". Lineage: Eukaryota; Viridiplantae; Streptophyta; Magnoliopsida; Solanales; Solanaceae. The record is from RNAcentral.